UCCCGCGUGGGGCUCCCUGCGGGGAGCCUGCUUCUCCCUCUGCCUGUGUCUGUGCCAUUGUCUGUGUCUCUCAUGAAUAAAUAAAAUCUUUAAAAAAAAUACAAGGAAUGGAGCGGGCCGGAGAGGUAGGUGGCUGGAAUGGGGAACACACCCAGUGCCCGUUAGGAAUGCGGAGUAUUUAAGCUGGAAGGGCGAGCGCGCAGGUGGGCGAGCACCCCGCAGCAGGCAGGGAAGGCUGCGGCCCCUCCUCCCCUCGUUCCUGGAGCCCUUAGACGAGUCUCCCGUGCUUGACAUUCUCGCCAGUCCUGAAAGUGGUCUAGCUUCUCUCUAUUUGGGCGCCAUGCUAAACUCCAGGAAGGGUGCUGAGGACCUCCUGAUCUCUUCGUCCUCCAUAGGAGAUGUACUGGCUGAGGAGAUCCCCCUUUGGUGUUUCAGGGACCACCACCACAUAGUGCUGAGGAAAGGAAAAUGUGAAUGAAUGGCAAGAUGGAAAGCUCAAGUAAUGGCCUCUUUAUCCCAAAACCGACGCUCCCAAAUGGAUCAUCCCUCACCAUGGCUCCUCCAUGUAAUGACUCCUUUUUGCCUGGGGCUCACCUGUACAGGCACUUUGGACAAUUCCCCCCUCCUCUGGACCCAGUGCUUCCUGCUCCACCUCCGUGAUCAGACUGUGUUUGCAGAGAGGAUACCCUGCUCAUGGAGAAAGAUGUGUGAGGUGGAGGAACUGUGAAGGAGAUAAGAAAUCUGUCCACAAAACUGAUUCCAAUACUUUGAUACUGAGGAAGAUAGGCAAAUACAACUUCAGGAGUGACCCAAGAAUCAGAUCUUUUACAAGGUCCCCAAAACAGGUAUCUACGUAUCUGUUCACAGAUAUACCUAUGUAUGCCCUGUUCAUAGAGAACUGACCCUUGAAAUCCAAGCCCAAGAGCAGAAACAUAUGGCAAAUUACCUAAAUCUUGUAAUAAUAAUGAAAAAUGAAAUCAGUCGAUUUUUUACAGGAAGCCAUAAGACUGCUCUACAAGGACAGGCGCCAUUCAUUUUAUGUUUGUCAUGUAUUACCAUUCUUUUCACAAAUCCUAGAACAUGGUAUGUCAGGAAGGACUGUCUGCUGCAUGAAGAAAUGAGAAAAUUAAUGAGGCCAAUCUUACCCAGAGAGGCUAGGUUCCUAAAGUUCUCCAGCAUCACAUCUCUGUACAGGAUUUUCUGAGCAUGGUCCAGCAGUGCCCACUCCUCCUGAGAGAAGUCCACCACCACUUCCUCAAAGGUCACGGAAUCCUGAAACAUCACAAACAUUCUGGCUCAGCCAAGGCUCAUUUCCAACAAUGUAGCAAAGGAAUGGUAGGGGAGGCUGCCAGCAAUGGGGAAGGAGACCAACACAUAGAUUUCAUUAUCUGACCCAAGGCUCAGUUCUUUCACUCUCCCUGCCUGGACCAUCUCAUCCAGACUCAUGUUUUUAGUAGCUUGUCUAAUACAUGGUUUAUCUGAUCUUUCCACCACUAGGUUUCGAGGCCUCUUCCAGUCUUAGUCAAGACCAAGUAUAGAUUGACUGUACUACAGGAUGAGAAAAAUACUUGAAAAAUGAAUGGAUGAUUUUCCUAGUGAAAAAAAUCUCUUUUCCUUCAUAGCAUCCAGCAGAAUAUGGAACAAAUACUUAACCUGGAGGAAGAUCUGGAAAAAAAGAAAUCAACAAAUAUUAUAGUAAUAGAAGCCUGUCUUAGGGAUUCUUUGUCUCAUUCUAAGAACCCCAAAGAACUGGGGAAGCCUGAGGCCAGCUCAGUUGAAGCUGUGGGUCAUGGGCAAGAGAUGUGUCCUUUGGGAACAGCAAUGUUUUUUGGAAACAGAAUAAUUUCCUCAGUACCUGUGACCAGGUUGUCAGCAAUCUGGCAGCCAUUCUUCCUCUUGUAUGUCUCCCGCCUUACCAGACAAGGUUCUGAGCAAGCAGACCUAGAGAAGAAAGAAGCCAGGAGAGUCCAGGCUUGACAAAUAUUCACCACUUACAACCUAGAAGCUUCCUCAUACUAGCUUCAGACAGACCACACUCACACACAUACACAUGCACACAUACAUACCCACUGUAUAGUACACUGUUCGGAUUUUAUCUCCCUAUCCAAGAACAGCUAGGAAUUAGAAAUAUAAGAUGCACUUAUUUUUAGUUUUUGAACUUUUUUCUAGACGGAACUACUAAAAAUGUCUACAAUCAAUAGGCAUUGUGAAGAGCAAUGAGCCACUCUCCUACCAAUAUGCCUCUAUUUUUUUUUAAUUUUUAUUUAUUUAUGAUAGUCACAGAGAGAGAGAGAGAGAGGCAGAGACACAGGCAGAGGGAGAAGCAGGCUCCAUGCACCGGGAGCCCAACGUGGGAUUCGAUCCCGGAUCUCCAGGAUCGUGCCCUGGGCCAAAGGCAGGCGCCAAACCGCUGCGCCACCCAGGGAUCCCCCAAUAUGCCUCUAAAUGUCAGUAGUCUUCCCAUAAAAGAAAUCAGGACCCUUUUGAGAAAUAGCUCAGUCCAGUGUAGAACAUGAAAUGUUCAAGCUGAGUUUGGAACAUCUUAUAACAGAAAGCAAGAGACCCAGCAAAGGCUAAUGGGGUUGUGUCAAAAAGACAUGGAGAAAAUUUUUUUAAAAGAGUUCCCCUCUUAGGAUGGAACAAUUUGAUAAAUAAUGGCUGCAGUCUGUUGAAAUCAUCAAAUCGAAACAAAAUCAUGAAUUCAUAAUGAUAUUUAAAAAAAAAACCCUAAUGGUCAGAAUUGGAGGAGGCCAGGAUAUCAGCUUCUGAUUCUGAAAAUUCUAUAAGGAAAAAAAUCAAGCAUAUAUCCCUAUUGUGUGAGUUAAAGUUCUUUACAGAAGAAUCAUACAAGCUUUACAAGAAGCUUCAUUUAUUAUAAAGAAAAAUGCUAGAGUCAGAAAGUAACCAUUUUGCAACCACUAGUAAAUUAAUGGGUCAUGGCAACAAUUAACAGUUAAUAAAUUAUUAGGUGAAAAAUGA
Molecule: long non-coding RNA, 2979 nt
Organism: Canis lupus familiaris (dog)
Lineage: Eukaryota; Metazoa; Chordata; Mammalia; Carnivora; Canidae
Exons: 3
Source: RefSeq, a predicted model, not a curated record